This 157-nucleotide ribosomal RNA is filed under the name Mortierella sp. 2S1AA. RNAcentral describes it as "5.8S ribosomal RNA". The stretch from base 54 to 157 matches the Rfam family "5.8S ribosomal RNA", at positions 1 to 104 of the family's 154-position model. Rfam says of the family: 5.8S ribosomal RNA (5.8S rRNA) is a component of the large subunit of the eukaryotic ribosome. It is transcribed by RNA polymerase I as part of the 45S precursor that also contains 18S and 28S rRNA. Functionally, it is thought that 5.8S rRNA may be involved in ribosome translocation. Lineage: Eukaryota; Fungi; Mortierellomycota; Mortierellomycetes; Mortierellales; Mortierellaceae. The record is from RNAcentral.
AACCUUGAACCACUUUGUCUGAAAAACUAUUAUGAAUACUUAAUUCAAAAUACAACUUUCAACAACGGAUCUCUUGGCUCUCGCAUCGAUGAAGAACGCAGCGAAAUGCGAUACGUAAUGUGAAUUGCAGAAUUCAGUGAAUCAUCGAAUCUUUGAA